UUNUNGGGGNCGGCUCCAUGCGGAAUAAAUAGCCGCAGGUAUUUUCACUGGUGCUAAGGUAGCAUAAUCAUUAGCCUUUUAAUUAAAGGCUAGAAUGAAUGAUUUAACUAUUUAAUUUCUUUUUUUUUAAAAAAUUACUAAAUUUUAACUAAGAAUAAAAAUGUUCUUAUUCCAAAAAAAGACGACAAGACCCUAUUGAACUUUACUCAAGUUUAGCUGGGGAAGCUAAUUAAAAAUAAUUUUAAUUUAAUAAAAAAAAAAAAACCAUUUUAAAUGAUUUAACAAGUUACCAUAGGGAUAACAGCGUAAUUCUUUUUAAAAGCUCUUAUCUAAAAAAGAGUUUACGACCUCGAUGUUGAAUUAACUAUACUUUAUAACGCACCCGUAUUAAAAGGGGGUCUGUUCGACCCUUAAAUAGUUACAUGAUCUGAGUUCAAACCGGA
This 443-nucleotide ribosomal RNA is filed under the name Neriene clathrata. RNAcentral's name for it is "partial 16S ribosomal RNA". It matches the Rfam family "Bacterial large subunit ribosomal RNA", at positions 1899 to 2620 of the family's 2925-position model. The record is from RNAcentral. Lineage: Eukaryota; Metazoa; Arthropoda; Arachnida; Araneae; Linyphiidae.